GAUCCACUAGCUCAGACGGUAGAGCAUCUGACUUUUAAUCAGAGGGUCUGGGGUUCGAUCCCCCAGUGGAUCACCA
This 76-nucleotide transfer RNA is filed under the name Fastidiosipila sp. RNAcentral's name for it is "tRNA-Lys". It matches the Rfam family "tRNA". From Rfam's summary of the family: Transfer RNA (tRNA) molecules are approximately 80 nucleotides in length. Their secondary structure includes four short double-helical elements and three loops (D, anti-codon, and T loops). Further hydrogen bonds mediate the characteristic L-shaped molecular structure. tRNAs have two regions of fundamental functional importance: the anti-codon, which is responsible for specific mRNA codon recognition, and the 3' end, to which the tRNAs corresponding amino acid is attached (by aminoacyl-tRNA synthetases). tRNAs cope with the degeneracy of the genetic code in two manners: having more than one tRNA (with a specific anti-codon) for a particular amino acid; and 'wobble' base-pairing, i.e. permitting non-standard base-pairing at the 3rd anti-codon position. The record is from RNAcentral. Lineage: Bacteria; Bacillati; Bacillota; Clostridia; Eubacteriales; Oscillospiraceae.